UGCCAGAUAAGACCAAAUGAUGAGCAAGUCAACAUGAACUAGGUGAGGAUGAAGCGAGAGCCAGGCAUCAGAUCAUGCAGGGCCUUGUAGCUCAUAGCAAGGGGCUUUAUUCCAAGUGCAAUAGAAGUCAUGGGUUGGAUUUGAGCAAAGGGGUAAUGUGAUUUAAUUUACAUUUUUAAACAAUUGCUCUGGCUGGCAGCAGGCAAGCUGGUGCUGACAUACAGCACACCCUGAUUGCCAUCAGUCUGCUCCCAGAAUCAUCUACCCAACCAUCACAAGAUAUCACUUUGGGGCUGACAUCUUUGGGGCCAAGUCCCAGCCAGGAGAUGUAUGUCACCCAGGGAUGACAGUCUGAUCAAAAUGCAUGAUGGAUAGGGCAUAACCAUCAUCCCAUCACUCAUGAGCAAGGAGGCAAAAAUUGUCAAGUUAGUAGUGUCAAGAGUGGGGAAGGUAAUUUCUGACAGGUGAUUAAUGCCAAGGAGCCAGCAAUCAUCCAGGUACUGCCGAGAGAAAUGGGCAGUUAUAUAUAUAUAUAUUUU
Molecule: long non-coding RNA, 539 nt
Filed under: Pan troglodytes (chimpanzee)
Lineage: Eukaryota; Metazoa; Chordata; Mammalia; Primates; Hominidae
Description: long non-coding RNA NONPTRT005366
Source: RNAcentral